Molecule: non-coding RNA, 213 nt
Organism: Cinara cedri
Lineage: Eukaryota; Metazoa; Arthropoda; Insecta; Hemiptera; Aphididae
Source: the annotation of a GenBank genome assembly
AANAACCUGUUUUAUUAAAUAAUAAUAUCCAAUCUGCUCUCAAUCACCUAGGUUUAAAAUAGUAUAUUAUUUAAGAGGAUAAGAGUAGUGUAAUGUUUUCUAUUUUAAAAUAUGUAAAUGUAUAUAUCAUUAUUAUAUAUGCGUUUUGAUAAGAUUGUAUUUACAUGUAAUUGUUCUCGCAUAAAAUAUUAAUAAAAUGUCUUCACUUUGAAA